AGAGACAAAAUAAGAGAAAAGGAAAACAUUUAAGAGAAAAACAAGAAACGUAUAAAAAAAAACGACCACCUGUCCGAAAAAUGACAACACAACAAAGCGAAGCAAAGGAAGGGGGCGAAAAGGAAGAACGGAGAGCGCAGCCGCAAACGCAAAACGCAAAACGAAGGAAAGGAAGACCACGACAAAGAGUGAGCGAAAAGAAGGCUGAAUAAUGCAAAUGUUUUGUCGUUCGCCUUUGAGUUCGCAAAGAUCACACCACAACUCCCAUGGCUAAUAAACCUAGAGAAAAAAGAGUUUAGGAGGCGGAAACCCGAGCUCAGGAAAUGCCCAGGUAAAAGUUAUAAAACUAAUAGUUCAAUGAUCUUCAUUCAGUCGCAGCUGUAAAAAACUGUGAGUGUUCAAAUAGAGUAUGGAAGAAUGAAACUGCCUGAUGUUCACGAAUCUGAGUUCUGGUAACGAAUAUUUAAUUGCUGGAAAAUGAUCUGCAAUGAUUGAUGGAUCGUAGGACCUACAAAAUGCGAACCGAAACGAACUGGAGAAAGAUAUUAAGAAAUCCGUUGGCCUGCUGUUGUGACUGUUGAAGUUCGUGUCUCUGGUUGCGUGGCAAACUGGCCCCGCCCCCAUUGCCAGCGCCGCCCCCGUUUACAGAGGCGGCAGAAUG
Drosophila gunungcola (fruit fly) is the source of this 661-nucleotide long non-coding RNA. RefSeq lists it as uncharacterized. Lineage: Eukaryota; Metazoa; Arthropoda; Insecta; Diptera; Drosophilidae. The transcript is spliced from 3 exons. The record is from RefSeq and is a predicted model, not a curated record.